CAGUCGCCGCGGUAAUACGAAGGGUGCAAGCGUUAAUCGGAAUUACUGGGCGUAAAGCGUGCGUAGGCGGUGAGUUAAGUCUGCUGUGAAAUCCCCGGGCUCAACCUGGGAAUGGCAGUGGAUACUGGCUCGCUAGAGUGUGUUAGAGGAUGGUGGAAUUCCCGGUGUAGCGGUGAAAUGCGUAGAGAUCGGGAGGAACAUCAGUGGCGAAGGCGGCCAUCUGGGACAACACUGACGCUGAGGCACGAAAGCGUGGGGAGCAAACAGGAUUAGAUACCCGCGUAGUCCCUGUCUCUUAUAC
This 301-nucleotide ribosomal RNA is filed under the name uncultured bacterium. RNAcentral describes it as "partial 16S ribosomal RNA". It matches the Rfam family "Bacterial small subunit ribosomal RNA", at positions 509 to 807 of the family's 1533-position model. The record is from RNAcentral.